CAGCAGCCGCGGGAAUACGAAGGGGGCUAGCGUUGUUCGGAAUUACUGGGCGUAAAGCGCACGUAGGCGGAUACUUAAGUCAGGGGUGAAAUCCCGGGGCCCAACCCCGGAACUGCCUUUGAUACUGGGUAUCUCGAGUCCGGAAGAGGUGAGUGGAAUUCCGAGUGUAGAGGUGAAAUUCGUAGAUAUUCGGAGGAACACCAGUGGCGAAGGCGGCUCACUGGUCCGGUACUGACGCUGAGGUGCGAAAGCGUGGGGAGCAAACAGGAUUAGAUACCCGCGUAGUCCCUGUCUCUUAUAC
Molecule: ribosomal RNA, 301 nt
Filed under: uncultured bacterium
Lineage: Bacteria
Description: partial 16S ribosomal RNA
Rfam family: Bacterial small subunit ribosomal RNA
Source: RNAcentral